This 863-nucleotide ribosomal RNA is filed under the name uncultured bacterium. RNAcentral's name for it is "bacterial SSU rRNA". It matches the Rfam family "Bacterial small subunit ribosomal RNA", at positions 71 to 915 of the family's 1533-position model. The record is from RNAcentral.
UGAUUGACGAUGGAUCACCAGUGAGUGGCGGACGGGUGAGUAACACGUAGGUAACCUGCCCCGGAGCGGGGGAUAACAUUUGGAAACAGAUGCUAAUACCGCAUAACAACAAAAGCCACAUGGCUUUUCUUUGAAAGAUGGCUUUGGCUAUCACUCUGGGAUGGACCUGCGGUGCAUUAGCUAGUUGGUAAGGUAACGGCUUACCAAGGCGAUGAUGCAUAGCCGAGUUGAGAGACUGAUCGGCCACAAUGGAACUGAGACACGGUCCAUACUCCUACGGGAGGCAGCAGUAGGGAAUCUUCCACAAUGGGCGCAAGCCUGAUGGAGCAACACCGCGUGAGUGAAGAAGGGUUUCGGCUCGUAAAGCUCUGUUGUUGGAGAAGAACGUGCGUGAGAGUAACUGUUCACGCAGUGACGGUAUCCAACCAGAAAGUCACGGCUAACUACGUGCCAGCAGCCGCGGUAAUACGUAGGUGGCAAGCGUUAUCCGGAUUUAUUGGGCGUAAAGCGAGCGCAGGCGGUUGCUUAGGUCUGAUGUGAAAGCCUUCGGCUUAACCGAAGAAGUGCAUCGGAAACCGGGCGACUUGAGUGCAGAAGAGGACAGUGGAACUCCAUGUGUAGCGGUGGAAUGCGUAGAUAUAUGGAAGAACACCAGUGGCGAAGGCGGCUGUCUGGUCUGCAACUGACGCUGAGGCUCGAAAGCAUGGGUAGCGAACAGGAUUAGAUACCCUGGUAGUCCAUGCCGUAAACGAUGAGUGCUAGGUGUUGGAGGGUUUUCCGCCCUUCAGUGCCGGGAGCUAACGCAUUAAGCACUCCGCCUGGGGAAGUACGACCGCAAAGGUUGAAACUCAAAGGAAUUGACG